CUGGAAAGAUGAAUCAAAGAAGGUAAUAAUCCUGUAGUCGAAAAUGUUGUCUCUCUUGAGUGGAUCCUGAGUACGACGGAGCACGUGAAAUUCCGUCGGAAUCUGGGAGGACCAUCUCCUAAGGCUAAAUACUCUCUAGUGACCGAUAGCGAACCAGUACCGUGAGGGAAAGGUGAAAAGCACCCCGGAAGGGGAGUGAAAUAGAACCUGAAACCGUGUGCUUACAAGUAGUCAGAGCCCGUUAAUGGGUGAUAGCGUGCCUUUUGUAGAAUGAACCGGCGAGUUACGAUUUGAUGCAAGGUUAAGCAGUAAAUGUGGAGCCGUAGCGAAAGCGAGUCUGAAUAGGGCGUUUAGUAUUUGGUCGUAGACCCGAAACCAGGUGAUCUACCCUUGGUCAGGUUGAAGUUCAGGUAACACUGAAUGGAGGACCGAACCGACUUACGUUGAAAAGUGAGCGGAUGAACUGAGGGUAGCGGAGAAAUUCCAAUCGAACCUGGAGAUAGCUGGUUCUCUCCGAAAUAGCUUUAGGGCUAGCCUCAAGUGAUGAUUAUUGGAGGUAGAGCACUGUUUGGACGAGGGGCCCCUCUCGGGUUACCGAAUUCAGACAAACUCCGAAUGCCAAUUAAUUUAACUUGGGAGUCAGAACAUGGGUGAUAAGGUCCGUGUUCGAAAGGGAAACAGCCCAGACCACCAGCUAAGGUCCCAAAAUAUAUGUUAAGUGGAAAAGGAUGUGGCGUUGCCCAGACAACUAGGAUGUUGGCUUAGAAGCAGCCAUCAUUUAAAGAGUGCGUAAUAGCUCACUAGUCGAGUGACACUGCGCCGAAAAUGUACCGGGGCUAAACAUAUUACCGAAGCUGUGGAUUGUCCUUUGGACAAUGGUAGGAGAGCGUUCUAAGGGCGUUGAAGCAUGAUCGUAAGGACAUGUGGAGCGCUUAGAAGUGAGAAUGCCGGUGUGAGUAGCGAAAGACGGGUGAGAAUCCCGUCCACCGAUUGACUAAGGUUUCCAGAGGAAGGCUCGUCCGCUCUGGGUUAGUCGGGUCCUAAGCUGAGGCCGACAGGCGUAGGCGAUGGAUAACAGGUUGAUAUUCCUGUACCACCUAUAAUCGUUUUAAUCGAUGGGGGGACGCAGUAGGAUAGGCGAAGCGUGCGAUUGGAUUGCACGUCUAAGCAGUAAGGCUGAGUAUUAGGCAAAUCCGGUACUCAUUAAGGCUGAGCUGUGAUGGGGAGAAGACAUUGUGUCUUCGAGUCGUUGAUUUCACACUGCCGAGAAAAGCCUCUAGAUAGAAAAUAGGUGCCCGUACCGCAAACCGACACAGGUAGUCAAGAUGAGAAUUCUAAGGUGAGCGAGCGAACUCUCGUUAAGGAACUCGGCAAAAUGACCCCGUAACUUCGGGAGAAGGGGUGCUCUUUAGGGUUAACGCCCAGAAGAGCCGCAGUGAAUAGGCCCAAGCGACUGUUUAUCAAAAACACAGGUCUCUGCUAAACCGUAAGGUGAUGUAUAGGGGCUGACGCCUGCCCGGUGCUGGAAGGUUAAGAGGAGUGGUUAGCUUCUGCGAAGCUACGAAUCGAAGCCCCAGUAAACGGCGGCCGUAACUAUAACGGUCCUAAGGUAGCGAAAUUCCUUGUCGGGUAAGUUCCGACCCGCACGAAAGGCGUAACGAUUUGGGCACUGUCUCAACGAGAGACUCGGUGAAAUCAUAGUACCUGUGAAGAUGCAGGUUACCCGCGACAGGACGGAAAGACCCCGUGGAGCUUUACUGUAGCCUGAUAUUGAAAUUCGGCACAGCUUGUACAGGAUAGGUAGGAGCCUUUGAAACGUGAGCGCUAGCUUACGUGGAGGCGCUGGUGGGAUACUACCCUAGCUGUGUUGGCUUUCUAACCCGCACCACUUAUCGUGGUGGGAGACAGUGUCAGGCGGGCAGUUUGACUGGGGCGGUCGCCUCCUAAAAGGUAACGGAGGCGCUCAAAGGUUCCCUCAGAAUGGUUGGAAAUCAUUCAUAGAGUGUAAAGGCAUAAGGGAGCUUGACUGCGAGACCUACAAG
Molecule: ribosomal RNA, 2042 nt
Filed under: Staphylococcus aureus
Lineage: Bacteria; Bacillati; Bacillota; Bacilli; Caryophanales; Staphylococcaceae
Description: partial 23S ribosomal RNA
Rfam family: Bacterial large subunit ribosomal RNA
Source: RNAcentral